This 279-nucleotide ribosomal RNA is filed under the name uncultured bacterium. RNAcentral describes it as "partial 16S ribosomal RNA". It matches the Rfam family "Bacterial small subunit ribosomal RNA", at positions 506 to 784 of the family's 1533-position model. The record is from RNAcentral.
UGCCAGCAGCCGCGGUAAUACGAAGGGGGCUAGCGUUGCUCGGAAUCACUGGGCGUAAAGCGCACGUAGGCGGCUUUUUAAGUCAGGGGUGAAAUCCUGGAGCUCAACUCCAGAACUGCCUUUGAUACUGAGAAGCUUGAGUUCGGGAGAGGUGAGUGGAACUGCGAGUGUAGAGGUGAAAUUCGUAGAUAUUCGCAAGAACACCAGUGGCGAAGGCGGCUCACUGGCCCGAUACUGACGCUGAGGUGCGAAAGCGUGGGGAGCAAACAGGAUUAGAUA